Molecule: ribosomal RNA, 484 nt
Filed under: uncultured bacterium
Lineage: Bacteria
Description: partial 16S ribosomal RNA
Rfam family: Bacterial small subunit ribosomal RNA
Source: RNAcentral
AUUGAACGCUGGCGGCAGGCCUAACACAUGCCAGUCGAGCGGAUGAAGGGAGCUUGCUCCUGGAUUCAGCGGCGGACGGGUGAGUAAUGCCUAGGAAUCUGCCUGGUAGUGGGGGAUAACGUCCGGAAACGGGCGCUAAUACCGCAUACGUCCUGAGGGAGAAAGUGGGGGAUCUUCGGACCUCACGCUAUCAGAUGAGCCUAGGUCGGAUUAGCUAGUUGGUGGGGUAAAGGCCUACCAAGGCGACGAUCCGUAACUGGUCUGAGAGGAUGAUCAGACACACUGGAACUGAGACACGGUCCAGACUCCUACGGGAGGCAGCAGUGGGGAAUAUUGGACAAUGGGCGCAAGCCUGAUCCAGCCAUGCCGCGUGUGUGAAGAAGGCCUUCGGAUUGUAAAGCACUUUAAGUUGGGAGGAAGGGCAGUAAGUUAAUACCUUGCUGUUUUGACGUUACCAACAGAAUAAGCACCGGCUAACUUCGUG